Molecule: transfer RNA, 76 nt
Filed under: Fidelibacterota bacterium
Lineage: Bacteria; Pseudomonadati; Fidelibacterota
Description: tRNA-Phe
Rfam family: tRNA
About the family: Transfer RNA (tRNA) molecules are approximately 80 nucleotides in length. Their secondary structure includes four short double-helical elements and three loops (D, anti-codon, and T loops). Further hydrogen bonds mediate the characteristic L-shaped molecular structure. tRNAs have two regions of fundamental functional importance: the anti-codon, which is responsible for specific mRNA codon recognition, and the 3' end, to which the tRNAs corresponding amino acid is attached (by aminoacyl-tRNA synthetases). tRNAs cope with the degeneracy of the genetic code in two manners: having more than one tRNA (with a specific anti-codon) for a particular amino acid; and 'wobble' base-pairing, i.e. permitting non-standard base-pairing at the 3rd anti-codon position.
Source: RNAcentral
GGGUCGGUAGCUCAGUUGGUAGAGCACUGGAUUGAAAAUCCGGGUGUCAGCGGUUCAAGUCCGCUCCUUCCCACCA